GGCUUGGGCUGUUGGAAGUCGAAUGCCACCAUUAAGUAAGUGAAACGGCUCGGUAGAGCAAGGUGGUAGUAGUGGGUGGAAAAAAACCAUUCAUGUUUCAGUUUGUAAUCUUUCCAGAAAAGAAAAGUGGAAGAGCAGUUUGAGAGAGGAGUAUACUGUGUUAUAUUAUUUUCUCAUUUUCUUUGUGAGUUACUAAUUGCUGCAUUAAAUGCAUACAGUUGCUUCUGCCAUUGAAAGCCCCAUGAUGUGAACAUUAUAAGCAUCUUCCUUCCUGGGAGUCUUUGUACAAUACCCAUGCCACUUUUUUAAAAAAAGAAAUCAAGAACCUGUUUUCUGCACAGCUUUUACAAAUAAAAUGAAAUGUUGAGUGCAACAACGCCUGAAGAAAAGAAAGAUGCCCUUUCUCACAGUUAUUUCUAUAUGCACAGGUGUGUAGAGUGGUUAUGAAAAGGAAGUGGGUGGUUUGAUGACAAGUGCAAUACAACAGCCUGUUCCGUAUUUUGAAUUCCCUUAUGUAGCUUUUUUUGUUUGUUUAAAUGCUGUUGAAUUUCAGUCUUAUGUCAUUUUGACUCUCCCCUAUGAUAUUUGGAAAUGUUACCAAGUAACAGAAGCUGUUAUGCACAAGAGUGACGCUCUUGACAUCCGUGGGGUUAGCAACAAAAGAACCUCUUAUGAUGUAAAUAGGCUGGAGAAGGUCAGCCUUAUAAUGUUUCUCAUGGAGACAGGUACUUUCAGCCAAACGGGAGGUAGUGAGAUAUAAGCCUCAUCUGCUGGAGGUCUUGGAAACCAGCAUAGAUCUAUUGUCCAGCCAAAAUCACCAUGGGAAAUGGUUCUAGAAUGUUUGGAGGGGUGGUUUUCUUUUUGUAUGACAAAGGGGAGAAGUGAUAGAGGGUGACAAUACUAAGCAUGUUGUGGAGAUCAAUAGAAGGUCCCCCAUAUAAUUCCCAGUAACUUGGGAUCAUACAAUGAAAGAAAUUGGCAAGAGAUAUCAGACAGGCAAAAGGUUUGGGGGUUACGCUGUGGUCUAAACCACAGAGCCUAGGGCUUGCCGAUCAGAAGGUCGGUGGUUCGAACCCCUGCGACGGGGUGAGCUCCCGUUGCUCAGUCCCAGCUCCUGCCAACCUAGCAGUUCAAAAGCACGUCAAAAUGCAAGUAGAAAAAUAGGUACCGCUCUGGCAGGAAGGUAAACAGUGUUUCCGUGCACUGCUCUGGUUUCACCAGAAGCGGCUUAGUCAUGCCGGCCACAUGACCUGGAAGCUGUACACUGGCUCCCUUGGCCAGUAAAGCGAGAUGAGCGCCGCAACCCCAGAGUCGUUUGCGACUGGACUUAACUGUCAGUAGUCCUUUACCUUUAUAAGACAGGCAAAGAACUUUACAUUGUGCAUAAUUAAUUUAUGGAAUCCACUGCCACAAGAUGUGGUGAAGGCCAUUAUCUUAAAGCAGGAUUAGGCCAGUGUUAUUGGACCCCCAGAUAUUUCCCCAUCAUCCUUGACCACUGACUAAGAUGGCUAGGGAUGAUGGCAGUUGUAGUCCAACCACUUCUGGAGAUUCUGAACUGUGGAUUCACAGAGGAAAACUGUUCUAUCAGUGCUUGCCAGUCACAAUGCAACCACUAGUUUCAGCAACAGCAAACAGAACAGGGGUAUUCCCUUCAUGUCCUAAUGAGCUUUCCAGAGGCAUUUGGUGGGCCAUUAUGAAGAACAAGUCAUUGGUUUAGAAUAGACUGCUAAGUCUUCUCCAGCGUGGCUUCUCUUAUGUUUCCAUGCAUGCAUGAGGCACACACGUGGGGGCACCAUAGUGUUGAAAGAACUAUUUAUUUCUCUUUGAGAGUCACCUUCAGAUUCCACUUGGUCCCCACUUGGACUUGGCAAGCUAUACUAUUGCUGCUGCUGACAUUCCUAAAAGACUGUCAAAAAAAGGUAACAGUAGUUUAAGGGAAAUAUUAUUGGAACAUGGAUAACACCCUCCAAACCACAUCACUGGCCAUAUCAGGUAAUUGCCUUGAUCAAAUGCUGAGGAUCACAGUCUGGCCAUGAAGUCUAUUAUAAAGAGUACUUCAGCCAAGGGUUAGAGGCUUUCCCAGGGUUAGAGGCUUUCAGGGAAUGUCUGUGAGGAAAAAAAUGUGGGAAGCAGACAUAGCUAACUUUAUUUAGUUAGCCUCCAGAAGCUGUACGCCAGUGGUGUUGGGUGCAAUGUUCUCCACUUUUGCAUGCUAUUAGCAAAGAGGCAAAAUGGCUAGAUUGCUAUAUAGCAAUGUGAGCAGCUUGCCUUGUUUGUUAAUAGGAUAUACAAGUGGAAAAUGCACAGGAUGGCUGUAGGACUCGUUAAUAGCAACGUAAACGAGAUAAAUUAAAAUGCAGGUAUUGUGAAAAGUAACUGGCUAGGAAUAAACAAACAAACUGGGUAACAUGUUAAUGGCUUUCCUGUGAAAUUUCUAUUGAUAGGUGUUUGUCAUAGUGACAUUCUGUUUCUCACAAUAAAUAGGGUGGAAAUAGAGAGCUGAUGCAUCAGCUGAAGACAAGAUGAGCAUCUCACCGGAAUUAAACUUGCAUACUUUCAGCAAAAGCUUUGAACUCCAGAAUAACUCUCACAUUUAUUCUUAUAAGAAAUUGUCUUCUAGCCUUCCUCUAAACAUACGUAUAAGUAAGAUGAAAGAACGCCCCAACCCACAACUUUUUGAUAGCUGCCUCCAUAUUAAUCAGCUCCCACACAAAUGCUGGGGAACACUUAAGUAAGCAUCAUGCCACUGCUCGUAUAGCUCAGAAGAUUUC
Podarcis lilfordi (Lilford's wall lizard) is the source of this 2771-nucleotide non-coding RNA. The record is from the annotation of a GenBank genome assembly. Lineage: Eukaryota; Metazoa; Chordata; Lepidosauria; Squamata; Lacertidae.